Molecule: long non-coding RNA, 575 nt
Organism: Hordeum vulgare subsp. vulgare (domesticated barley)
Lineage: Eukaryota; Viridiplantae; Streptophyta; Magnoliopsida; Poales; Poaceae
Exons: 2
Source: RefSeq, a predicted model, not a curated record
UGGCCGCAUUUCUGUAACAGAGGAGUCAGAAGGAGUUGCACCCUGCUCAUAUGAACAUUGUCAAAAUUAUUAUCAGUUUAUCAGUUUAUCAGUAAAGAGCUACCCUUCAUUCGUAAGGAUCAGAUGCGAGUUUCUGAAAUUAUUGGCUGCCGCUCGUGUUCGCAUUGUGUCUGCGACUCUGGCGGUACAAGGCAGCAGCCCGGUGAACACCAUUAUUGAACUUCUGAAAAGCAAGCAGCAGAUAUCAUUUACAACCAGGACCUGAGGCAGCGAGGCUUCUGACGGAGAAAAUCGCAGGAGGCUGCUUCUCCUUUACUCUGCCUGUCCGGAGCACAGGAGGAGAGCAACCAGAGGUGGCAGCCCGCUGCUCUGGGGUUCUUCUGCAGAGAUUGUUCUUGGAUGCGCCGUUUUGCAACCGGCUGCUGCAGUGCUGCUACUAUACCUCCUGGUGCGUUUAUAUAUGUUGUGUAGGUCUAUUUGCAUUGGGUCAAAAUUAUUUGUCUGUAAUUGUGGGUUGAUUGAUACUAAAUCAUGUGGUAACUGUUCCUGCAAGAAAAUUCAUCUUGAGCAUGACA